ACCUGGUUGAUCCUGCCAGUAGUCAUAUGCUUGUUUCAAGACUAAGCCAUGCAAGUCUCAGAAUAAAUGGAUCAUAGUGAGUCUGCAGACAGCUCAUUAAAUCAGACAAUUGGAUAACUUUGGUAACCCCAAAGCUAAUACAUGUCAGCAAGACCCGCACAGAUUCCACCUCGGGGGCUUGCCUCUGGGGCUGUGCUGGGUGCAAUUGACCGGAACAAAAAUCAUCGCUAGCAACAGCAGCGGUUGAUUGGAUGAACUCAGGUCAAUCGAGCAGUAGCGCAUACUUCCGUGGCGCUUGAUCGCAUGAGCAUCUGCCCUAUCAGCUUUUGACGGUAGUGUAGUGGACUACCGUGGCAGUAACGGGUAACGGGGAAUUAGGGUUCGAUUCCGGAGAGGGAGCCUGAGAAACGGCUACCACAACUAAGGUUGGCAGCAGGCGCGCAAAUUGCCCAAUAGCAACACAUCGCUGAGGCAGCGAAGAGAAAUAGCAACUUCAUGCGGCCCUGCCGUGUGAAGAUUGCCAUGGACGAUAUCUAAACCUGUCGGUGAGUAUCAAUUGGUGGACAAGUCUGGUGCCAGCACCCGCGGCAAUUCCAGCACCAAUAGCGUAUAUUAAUGCUGCUGCUGUUAAAAAGCUCGUAGUUGGAUCAAGAGUUGGACAGUGCACGGUGGCCCUGUUUUUCCUUCUGGCUCCGGUCAGGGGGGCGGCAGCGGAACAACCCCGUGCGCCAAACUGUCCACUCUAACAGACCGAAACGGUUCCCUGUGAGUAGGCUCCUUAAUUGGGGCUGAAAGCGCCUACGCAUCAACCAUAUGCAUACGGGACGUCCGUCAAUGUUACUGUGAACAAACCAGCGUGUCCAAAGCAGGCUUUCGCCUGAAUGUUCGAGCAUGGAAUAACAAGGGAUCGAUUCUCUCGGUUCUUUUUGUUGGUUUUUAACCCGGGAAGGAGAAAUUCAGGCCACGGGUGUCUGAGUUAGGUUUCCCUGGCCUUUCGGGUCAGGCCCUUAGUUAGGGGGUGUCCUUUGCGGGAUCAAUAGGGACUGAACGGGGUCGUACCUACUUCGCGUCAGAGGUGAAAUUCUUAGAUCGCGGGAAGAGGAACUUCUGCGAAAGCAUUCGACAAGAAUGUCUUCAUUAAUCAAGAACGAGAGUGUGGGGAUCGAAGAUGAUCAGAUACCGUCGUAGUCCACUACUGUAAACAAUGCCGUCUCAGGAUUGAGAAGUGAACAGAAUGACUUUCACAGCACUAACCCCUGAAACGAGAAAUCAAAGAUUAUGGGUUCAGGGGGGAGUACAUUCGCAAGGCUGAAACUUAA
This 1319-nucleotide ribosomal RNA is filed under the name uncultured marine diplonemid. RNAcentral's name for it is "SSU rRNA". It matches the Rfam family "Eukaryotic small subunit ribosomal RNA", at positions 1 to 1147 of the family's 1831-position model. Lineage: Eukaryota; Euglenozoa; Diplonemea. The record is from RNAcentral.